AUUUAAUUCUAUGUAAGACAUGAAUAGCUCCUGCAAUUAUCAGGAUGACAAAAUCUAUACCAGCUAGAGUGAUACCUACAGAAAAUCCCCUUUUGUGUACCUCCUCAUGAGAUCUUUUUUUUUUUUUUCCAGAGUUGGGACCUUCGUUGGAUUUAAAUCUUGUGCCUUGCCACCUCCAAUGCUAAUGCUCCAGCCAUGCACGUUAUGUGAUGCUGUUAUUAAGCCAGUUGAAGCAGAGAAGCCUCUGUACAUGUACUCAUCUAGCACCAAUGAGAGAUCAAUAGGAAAUGAUAUUAAAGGACGACGAGGCUUUGGUACGCCUAGAGGAGAUUUGGAAACCUUAAUCAACAUCUCCUGGCUGCUAUAAUCAACCCAAGCUCGAAUCGGGUCUCCACUUCUCAGAAGAAUAGGAAUUCUGUGGUUAUUGCCAGAAUAGUAAGAAGCUGGCUCUGAUGCACUGGGGAUGAGGCUUGAUAUUAAUAUUACUCUCAAUAUUACUAGUCACUGGUUAUGUCUCUUAAAAUUUUGA
RNAcentral lists this long non-coding RNA (529 nucleotides) under Citrus x clementina. RNAcentral's name for it is "Citrus clementina (C. clementina) long non-coding RNA (CCLE_LNC002710)". The record is from RNAcentral. Lineage: Eukaryota; Viridiplantae; Streptophyta; Magnoliopsida; Sapindales; Rutaceae.